RNAcentral lists this ribosomal RNA (479 nucleotides) under uncultured bacterium. RNAcentral describes it as "partial 16S ribosomal RNA". It matches the Rfam family "Bacterial small subunit ribosomal RNA", at positions 28 to 507 of the family's 1533-position model. The record is from RNAcentral.
GAUGAACGCUAGCGGCAUGCCUAACACAUGCAAGUCGAGCGGAAAGGCUUGUUCGGAAAUUUGAGAGCGGCGCACGCGUGCGUAACACGUGUGCAUCCUACCUUUAUCUGGGGGACAGCCUUUCGAUAGGAAGAUUAAUACCCCAUACUAUUAUGAUUUGCAUCAACAAUUAUUGACAAUUCCGGUGGAUCGAGAUGGGCACGCUCAAGAUUGGAUAGUUGGUGAGGUAACGGCUCACCAAGUCAAUGAACUUUAGGGGUGCUGAGAGGGAGAUCCCCCACAAUGGUACCGAGGCACAGACCAGACUCCUACGGGGGGGAGGAGUGAGGAAUAUUGGGCGAUGGGGGAGAGCCUGAUCCAGCCAUCCCGGGGGAAGGAGGACGGUCCUAGGGAUUGUAAACUUCUUUUGAACAGGGAUAAACCAACUCUCGUGAGGGUUGCUGAAGGUACUGUACGAAUAAGCACCGGCUAACUACGUG